This is a long non-coding RNA of Salvia miltiorrhiza (redroot sage), 1134 nucleotides long. RefSeq lists it as uncharacterized. The transcript is spliced from 2 exons. The record is from RefSeq and is a predicted model, not a curated record. NCBI's taxonomy places the organism in Eukaryota, Viridiplantae, Streptophyta, Magnoliopsida, Lamiales, Lamiaceae.
GCCUUCAUUCUCCACACUUUCUCUUUCAAUUCCUCUCUCCCCCUUUGAGAAAGCCGCCGCAUCUGGAAGACCGGCGAGGUCGCCGUCACGCCGGUCACCGGCGCUGCUUCCCCGUCACAUCUGCUCUUCUCUCUCUCUUUUCUCUCAAUUCCAAUUCCUUUCUCAUAUCGUGCCCUGGUUUCCCCUUUCGAAAUGAGCCCUAACGCUCUCAUCAAAAUCAUCGCUGCUGCUUUCGAUUUCCGGCGAGCAGUGACCGGCUCGUGUCGUCUGCUCUCUUCUCAGAAGGAUCGGCGAGAUCGUCGCUCACUCUACCUCUUACUCUCUCACCGAAAUGCACAUGCUAGUUUCCCCCUUUCGGAACGAGCCCUAGCUCUCUGCUGAUUCAGGCGGAACCGUUGCUGCCUCUCUUAGAGUCCGUCCGCCGUGCUACCGGCUCCGGCUCCGGCUCCCUGAGUUGCCACCGUCACGGGGUCCCAACGGAUUCUCCCUGAUUCCCGAUGAGUAAUAGGCCCAUGUGGGCUGUCGUUACCAAGCGCCGCUGCACGCCUUCGGAAGUCGACGUCGGCUCUCAAGUCUCCGUGAAUCGUCGCCUGCUCCUCUGUUGUGCACGCCUCUCUGGAAGCCUCACUGUCGCCGACGGCCACUCCGCCUCCUCAAAACAGGGCAGCCACCGUUCCGACAUUCUCUCCAACUCAGCAAUUUCAGACUGAACUCAAGAAAGAAAUGGUGAAGGAGUUAGCCACUCUUACCUCUCUAAGUCUGCUAGAAGCUGAAUCAAAAUCCUCUCUUAGUGAAGAUGCAUUAAGAAAGAAAAAGAUACGAAUUUGCUAGCUGGAGAUAUAAUGGAAAAUGGUUGUUGGCUACACUUGAGUAUUUUGAAGGGAUGGGCAACGUAGGGUGGCUGAUUGACCCCCUACAUGUACCAAGAGUAUGGCUUGGCUGAAAGUUGGCAGCAGAGGGAGCAUGGCUUGAUCUGAAUUCGUGGCUUUUGCACAGGAAAAAGGAGGGAGGGGCUGUUGUAUGCACGUUGCAUUGUUUUCUUUUGACAAGCUUGAUGUAGCUGAUAGAGUAGGUGAAUGUGAUGUACCAUGUAAUGUGAUAAAUUACCACAAUUAAAUCCUUCAGUCUACAUAA